This 328-nucleotide long non-coding RNA is filed under the name Glycine max (soybean). RNAcentral describes it as "long non-coding RNA (GMAX_LNC003017)". Lineage: Eukaryota; Viridiplantae; Streptophyta; Magnoliopsida; Fabales; Fabaceae. The record is from RNAcentral.
CGACACCUCCAAACACUCCUUACGUUCCAAUUACUCCUCCAAAAGCACCUUAUCAUCCAAAUCCACCUUAUGUUCCAACCCCUCCAAACACUCCUUAUGUUCCAAUUACUCCUCCGAGAGCACCUUAUGUUCCAGCACCUCCUCAAACUCCAACUGUUCCAACUCCUCCAGAAACUCCUUAUCAUCCACCCUAUGUUCCAAUACCUCCUCCUAAAACACCUUCACCUAUUUCCAGUCCUCCCUAUGUUCAUCCAAAACCACCUUCACCUAUUCAUUAUCCACCUAAUGUUCCAACACCUCCAAAAACUCCUUCCCCUGUAUACACUCC